This 73-nucleotide transfer RNA is filed under the name Cordylochernes scorpioides. RNAcentral describes it as "tRNA-Thr". It matches the Rfam family "tRNA". Rfam says of the family: Transfer RNA (tRNA) molecules are approximately 80 nucleotides in length. Their secondary structure includes four short double-helical elements and three loops (D, anti-codon, and T loops). Further hydrogen bonds mediate the characteristic L-shaped molecular structure. tRNAs have two regions of fundamental functional importance: the anti-codon, which is responsible for specific mRNA codon recognition, and the 3' end, to which the tRNAs corresponding amino acid is attached (by aminoacyl-tRNA synthetases). tRNAs cope with the degeneracy of the genetic code in two manners: having more than one tRNA (with a specific anti-codon) for a particular amino acid; and 'wobble' base-pairing, i.e. permitting non-standard base-pairing at the 3rd anti-codon position. Lineage: Eukaryota; Metazoa; Arthropoda; Arachnida; Pseudoscorpiones; Chernetidae. The record is from RNAcentral.
UCCAGGGUAGCCUAGUGGACAUGGCAUCUGCCCGGUAAACGUAACACUGUGGGUUCUAUUCCCAUCCCUGGAC